RNAcentral lists this small nucleolar RNA (89 nucleotides) under Auricularia subglabra TFB-10046 SS5. Its description in RNAcentral is "Small nucleolar RNA SNORD24". It matches the Rfam family "Small nucleolar RNA SNORD24". From Rfam's summary of the family: U24 is a member of the C/D class of snoRNA which contain the C (UGAUGA) and D (CUGA) box motifs. C/D box snoRNAs have been shown to act as methylation guides for a number of RNA targets. The record is from Rfam by way of RNAcentral. Lineage: Eukaryota; Fungi; Basidiomycota; Agaricomycetes; Auriculariales; Auriculariaceae.
UGCAUAUGAUGUUACUUCUUAAUAUUUGCUACUUCAGAGGUCCUUGCGGCCGAUGAGACAACUCUUUUAUCACCAAGAUCUCUGAUGCC